GACGUAGGGCGCGAGCGUUGUCCGGAUUUAUUGGGCGUAAAGAGCUCGUAGGCGGCUUGUUGCGUCGACUGUGAAAACCCGCGGCUUAACUGCGGGCUUGCAGUUGAUACGGGCAGGCUAGAGUUCGGUAGGGGAGACUGGAAUUCCUGGUGUAGCGGUGAAAUGCGCAGAUAUCAGGAGGAACACCGAUGGCGAAGGCAGGUCUCUGGGCCACUACUGACGCUGAGAAGCGAAAGCAUGGGGAGCGAACAGG
Molecule: ribosomal RNA, 253 nt
Filed under: uncultured bacterium
Lineage: Bacteria
Description: partial 16S ribosomal RNA
Rfam family: Bacterial small subunit ribosomal RNA
Source: RNAcentral